CAUUAGUGAAUUGUUAAAUGGGGUUUGAUGCUGGCAUCCGCUCUGUGGCAUGCAUGUGCUCGCUCUAACAAUCAUCUUCCAAACACUGUGCACAUUUUUUGAGGGUAAAUGCAAUUGUACUGCGUUUCCCCUUGAUAUACGCCUAUUACAAUAGUGAAUGUGAUUUGUGCCAUAAGGCCUUUAAUACCUAUACAACUUUUAACAACGGAUCUCUUGGCUCUCGCAUCGAUGAAGAACGCAGCGAAAUGCGAUAAGUAAUGUGAAUUGCAGAAUUCAGUGAAUCAUCGAAUCUUUGAACGCACCUUGCGCUCCCUGGUAUUCCGAGGAGCACGCCUGUUCGAGUGUCAUGAAAAUUUGUCAAGCUUAGGCUUGGUUUUGUUGGGCUUUGCUGUGUCCUUUGUUGGGAAUGGCUGGCCUUAAAAUUAUUAGCUGGUCCUUGUUUUAUCGGUUCUACUCAAGCGUGAUAAUAGUCUGAUCGCUGGAGGACAUUCCAUCUGGGAUGGCCGUUCAUCAACUUGGAUUGGCUCAUGUGGCUCUACUUUUUUCAGCUUUGACCUCGAAUCAGGUGGGACUACCCGCUGAACUUAAGCAUAUCAAUAAGCGGAGGAAAAGAAACUAACAAGGAUUCCCCUAGUAACGGCGAGUGAAGCGGGAAGAGCUCAAAUUUAAAAUCUGGCAAUCUUUGGUUGUCCGAAUUGUAAUCUAGAGAAGUGUUUUCCGCGCUGGACUGUGUUC
RNAcentral lists this ribosomal RNA (735 nucleotides) under uncultured fungus. Its description in RNAcentral is "eukaryotic LSU rRNA". The stretch from base 194 to 347 matches the Rfam family "5.8S ribosomal RNA". The record is from RNAcentral. Lineage: Eukaryota; Fungi.